This 305-nucleotide ribosomal RNA is filed under the name uncultured bacterium. Its description in RNAcentral is "bacterial SSU rRNA". It matches the Rfam family "Bacterial small subunit ribosomal RNA", at positions 331 to 654 of the family's 1533-position model. The record is from RNAcentral.
UUGAACCUACGGGAGGCAGCAGUAGGGAAUCUUCCACAAUGGACGAAAGUCUGAUGGAGCAACGCCGCGUGAGUGAAGAAGUAUUUCGAUAUGUAAAGCUCUAUCAGCAGGGAAGAAGAAAGACGGUACCUGACUAAGAAGCCCCGGCUAACUACGUGCCAGCAGCCGCGGUAAUACGUAGGGGGCAAGCGUUAUCCGGAUUUACUGGGUGUAAAGGGAGCGUAGACAGCAUAGCAAGUCUGAAGUGAAAGCCCGUGGCUCAACCGCGGAACUGCUUUGGAAACUGUUAAGCUGGAGUACUGGAG